CAUUCAUGAAAUCUAUGCAGCAGUAUGAACAUCUACGAGAGGCUUCCUUAACCUGUAGUGACAAGCAGCUACAGUCUUGUAUCGUACAUGGAGUUGGUUUCAUAAUGGUGGUCUUUGCUUAAAGGAUCGGAGUCUUGUUGAGGGGCUUUUCCUGAAGGGUGAUCUUCAAAUUCUAUGCACGACAAAUACUUUGGCACGGCAUCAACUUACCUUCACAUACAGUAGUGAUGAAGUCGGCACAAUUUUUGUGAGAACUUUUUUUAAUGUGAAAGCAUUUCUACCAACUUUUUUUAAUGUGAAAGCAUUUCUACCUACCCUCUGAUCUUUUUUAUGAUAUUUUCUGAUUUUUAUACAUUUCGUAGCAACAAAGAGAAGGGAUCUUAUGUAGAAUAUGAGAGAUCCAUGGUUCUUCA
Molecule: long non-coding RNA, 413 nt
Organism: Hordeum vulgare subsp. vulgare (domesticated barley)
Lineage: Eukaryota; Viridiplantae; Streptophyta; Magnoliopsida; Poales; Poaceae
Exons: 2
Source: RefSeq, a predicted model, not a curated record